Nothobranchius furzeri (turquoise killifish) is the source of this 1000-nucleotide non-coding RNA. NCBI's taxonomy places the organism in Eukaryota, Metazoa, Chordata, Actinopteri, Cyprinodontiformes, Nothobranchiidae. The record is from RefSeq and is a predicted model, not a curated record.
UUUAAAUUUAUAAUUAAAUUUGCACACUGUGACUAAUUUCAGUCAAAACAUGACUCAUGAAUUAUUUAAGUGAAUCAUUUUCUGCUAACCUAGUGUUUGGACAUUUACUUUGAGCAUCCUCCAAAAAUAUCUCUAUUUACAGGCAAUCAUCGCAGGAAAAGUGUCAUCCACCUGGGCUUCAUCAAAGGGCAGGGUGGACAUUUUCUUUGAGGAGGAUGAGCAGCUGGACAGAGUGAUGGGCUUCUUGACAAGCCUGGUUGAAGCACAGACAACCAGAUGUCACAAUCAAGUGGCAUUCAUGAUGGAUGUGCUUCUGCCAGAGGCAACCAUCCAUGCGCUUUCAGCUGUCCAUGAAUGUUGACGGACAAAGCCACAGAAAUGUACGGCAGUGGGCUGCAGUAUGACUGGAGUGAGAGGCAGCUGAUGUCCUAUGCCAUGGAACUGCUCAUAAACACGGAGAAACUCAGAAAAGCUCUGGACUCAUCUGAAUUUUUGAAGAGGCUGUAGUAUUGUGUUGACAUCUUUUUUGGAAGGUUUUUGUAAGGCCAAUAAACGUUGUUGCUGGUUGUUUCAUUUGUCUGAACUUUUUUCUAAAGCAAAACUUUUCUGCUUUUGUGUUUACAGCAUAUUUUUUAAAGAUUAGUGAAUGGUCAAUAUCAGUUUACUAGUCUUGUGAAUUGUAUACUUAAUUCAAAAUAUUUUAGUAAUUUCUAAAUCAAUACAUUUUGUGUCAAAGGGCCAGCAAUUAUUCCUGUUAACAGAAUAUAUGAAAUACAUAAAUACACAUGUAAAUAUGCCUAAAAAUCACACAUCAGCAGCUUUUCACUGUAAAGAAGCAAUAAAAAAUCAUAAAUAUUAACAUAAAUAUUAACUACUCACUCGUAUUGACUUAGACCCACUGUUAGUGCCUGUAAUAACAAAUGGUUGAAAGUUAAAUGUUGCUGUAGGAGGCGUGCUCCCAAAAAUGGAGGCUAGUGGGCUUAAGGGGUUAAUUAAAACG